UAGUGGCGGACGGGUGAGUAACGCGUGAGAAUCUGCCCUCAGGAGGGGGAUAACGGCUGGAAGCGGCCGCUAAUACCCCAUAUGCCGAGAGGUGAAACGAAUUUCGCCUGAGGAUGAGCUCGCGUCUGAUUAGCUAGUUGGUAGGGUAAAGGCCUACCAAGGCAUUGAUCAGUAGCUGGUCUGAGAGGAUGAUCAGCCACACUGGGACUGAGACACGGCCCAGACUCCUACGGGAGGCAGCAGUGGGGAAUUUUCCGCAAUGGGCGCAAGCCUGACGGAGCAACGCCGCGUGAGGGAUGAAGGCCUCUGGGCUGUAAACCUCUUUUAUCAAGGAAGAAGAUCUGACGGUACUUGAUGAAUAAGCCACGGCUAA
This 373-nucleotide ribosomal RNA is filed under the name uncultured bacterium. Its description in RNAcentral is "bacterial SSU rRNA". It matches the Rfam family "Bacterial small subunit ribosomal RNA", at positions 93 to 500 of the family's 1533-position model. The record is from RNAcentral.